This 287-nucleotide unclassified non-coding RNA is filed under the name uncultured fungus. Its description in RNAcentral is "sequence contains ITS2". Lineage: Eukaryota; Fungi. The record is from RNAcentral.
AACGCAUCUUGCGCUCCUUGGUAUUCCUUGGAGCAUGCCUGUUUGAGUGUCAUGAAUAUAUCAAUCAACAAGAAAGACUUUUUGUUUCUCUUGUUGAUUGGACUUGGAGGUUUUUGCUGGUCACACUAGCUCCUCUCAAAUACAUCAGCUGGAACCUGAAUGUGUAUCUCUGGUGUGAUAAAUAUCUACUCCAUCUGAUCACAGAUAAAGGAUCUGCUCAUAGUCGUCCAAAUGGACAAUAUUUGACAUCUGACCUCAAAUCAGGUAGGACUACCCGCUGAACUUAA